Molecule: transfer RNA, 73 nt
Filed under: Rattus norvegicus (Norway rat)
Lineage: Eukaryota; Metazoa; Chordata; Mammalia; Rodentia; Muridae
Rfam family: tRNA
About the family: Transfer RNA (tRNA) molecules are approximately 80 nucleotides in length.
Source: Rfam by way of RNAcentral
GGAGAGAUGGCUCAGUGGUUAAGAGCACUGACUGCUCUUCCAGAGGUCCUGAGUUCAAAUCCCAGCAGCCCCA